GCCUGGCUGGCUCAGUCAAUAGAGCAUGUGACUCUUGAUCUUAGGGUUGUGAGUUGGAACCUCACAUUGGGUG
Molecule: transfer RNA, 73 nt
Filed under: Ailuropoda melanoleuca (giant panda)
Lineage: Eukaryota; Metazoa; Chordata; Mammalia; Carnivora; Ursidae
Rfam family: tRNA
About the family: Transfer RNA (tRNA) molecules are approximately 80 nucleotides in length. Their secondary structure includes four short double-helical elements and three loops (D, anti-codon, and T loops).
Source: Rfam by way of RNAcentral